Molecule: ribosomal RNA, 253 nt
Filed under: uncultured bacterium
Lineage: Bacteria
Description: partial 16S ribosomal RNA
Rfam family: Bacterial small subunit ribosomal RNA
Source: RNAcentral
UACGUAGGGUGCAAGCGUUAAUCGGAAUUACUGGGCGUAAAGCGUGCGCAGGCGGUUUUGUAAGUUUGUCGUGAAAGCCCCGGGCUCAACCUGGGAGUUGCGAUGAAGACUGCAAGGCUUGAAUCUGGCAGAGGGGGGUAGAAUUCCACGUGUAGCAGUGAAAUGCGUAGAGAUGUGGAGGAACACCGAUGGCGAAGGCAGCCCCCUGGGUCAAGAUUGACGCUCAUGCACGAAAGCGUGGGGAGCAAACAGG